Cydia fagiglandana is the source of this 1286-nucleotide long non-coding RNA. RefSeq lists it as uncharacterized. Lineage: Eukaryota; Metazoa; Arthropoda; Insecta; Lepidoptera; Tortricidae. The record is from RefSeq and is a predicted model, not a curated record. The transcript is spliced from 2 exons.
CUUUAGCGGCUCUGUGCACUUUUUGUGAUGGGAAAAAAAUGUUAAACUCGCGACAGGUGUCACGUGACCGACAGAUUCGACAGAUUGAAAAUUCGUAAGACGGAUACGUGACCUGAUCCAAAAACUAUACAAAUAAUAAUAAAAUUCUUUAUUGUGCACUACUAAAGAAAAGUACAUAAUAGAAAAAAAAACAGGACUUAAAUGAGUAGGUAACAACAGGCGGACUUAUCGCUAUAAAGCGAUCUCUUCCAGACAACCUUCAGAUAGCGAAACAGUGGCAAGAAGUAAGCUAUUGGGCAGUGCAAAACAACAACAGAAAAAUAAAAUAUAUGUACCUAUAUAUCCAUAUGAUACGCUUACUUUAAAUUAUAGACUAAAAACAAUGAAACAUACACUACUUAAACUACAUAAAUUAUUUAACUGCCAAUAAUACACUACAUAAACUACAUAGAUAAAUGCUAAGCAUUCAAGCGAGAGAAGUAACGACCAGGUAGCGAAAAUAUAAAGGGGAAUUAACUUAUAUGAAUUAAAUGACCAAGACUAAGAAAGAGAUAAAUAGUGCUCUUUUAGACGUUUUUUAAAAAUGGGUAAGGAUUGAGCACGCCUUAUGUCAAUGGGCAAAGCAUUCCACAUCCGCACAGACUGGAAAGUAAACGAUUUGAUGUAAAACUUACUAGAUGACCGAGGGGGAGCAAGAAGAAGAUUUUGAGAACACCUAACAGACGAAAGAAAACUAAACCGCUUUUUAAGGUAACCAGGAGUGUUGGGAAUAAAUAAAAUGCUGUAGAGAAGAGAAAGGAUAUGAGCAUUACGUCGGAAGCGAAUCGGUAACCACCUGAGCUGAGACCGGAAGCUGGAGACAUGGUCAAAUUUCCGUAGCCCAAAAAUGAAACGAAUGCACACAUUUUGAAGUCGUUCAAGUUUGUUUAAUUGCUCUUCGGUGAGAUCGAGAUAAGAGAUGUCGGCAUAGUCUAGAAUAGGAAGAAGAAGAGAUUGAGCCAGCGCAAUUUUAGUGGCAAGUGGUAAAAAAUUGCGGAGACGCCUAAGAGAUCCUACGGCAGCAAAGAUCUUACGACUAACUUCAUUAAGCUGCGGACCCCAAGAAAGAGUACGAUCCAUGACCACUCCCAGAUUCUUAACUUGGGACGAGUACGGGAUCUGGACCCCAUCGAAUAAGAUAGGAGGCAGACUCACAAAAUUCACCUUUGCUAUAUUCAUAGGGCUACCAAUAAUAAUGACUUGGGUCUUCGCAGGAUUAACUCUAAUUCCAUAGGAGGAGCUCCAGU